CGUUUUCUCCUUCUCCACUUACCCAUCGAACCAGAUAAAGAAUGAAGUAGCUGAUAAGAAGAACACCAAUAAUUCCACUGCAACAGUCUUUCUGAUGCUCGCCUCCUCCCACUCUAUUCCGAAUGAUUUAUUAGAUCAGAAGCUCUAAUAUUGUAGAGCAGCAAGCUACAUCUGUAGCAGACAAGAAGAACGACAAUAGCUUUCUUAGAUUGAAAGAAUGGACGGUCGCGUUGGUUUAGGAUUCCAAGUCUUAAUCCACAGACUUCACAUCUGUUUCAAUGCACAGCUCCGAAAAGCUUCUUGAGUUCCUUCAAUUCUCCUUCAUUCGUUCGUGAGUUCCUCCAAAUAAUCCUCUAUAUAUGCUUGUACAGAGGACACAAGCCCAAAUUCUCCUUCACAUCUGUUUCAAUGCACAGCUCCGAAAAGCUUCUUGAGUUCCUUCAAUUCUCCUUCAUUCGUUCGUGAGUUCCUCCAAAUAAUCCUCUAUAUAUGCUUGUACAGAGGACACAAGCCCAAAUUGGGAACUCAGGCGCUCCUGUUUGUGCGAGUAAGAGAAGACUGUAGACUUCCUAUGAAUUUGGUGAAUCCUGGAUAGUGGAUACAAUCAAACCGUCGGCUGACAUUUAAACCAGACAAAGUACACGGGGGUGCUCUUGCUUCACCAAAGUCGUUGGUUUGUUUUCUUUCUUUUAUC
Molecule: long non-coding RNA, 694 nt
Organism: Nelumbo nucifera (sacred lotus)
Lineage: Eukaryota; Viridiplantae; Streptophyta; Magnoliopsida; Proteales; Nelumbonaceae
Source: RefSeq, a predicted model, not a curated record